ACUUGAUCUUGAACUUUUGAAACUUAUAGGAUGAUUAUUUUCUUAGGAACUUUAAUUCUGGUCAGUCACAAUGAUUACAUUCGUCAUAUUUUCCUAAGCUCGAAGCUAAUACUAAUUUUCCUAUUUUUUAUUGCAUCACAAGAAUUAAGCACCAAAGACAAUAAUGCAUCAAGAGUUUCUCACUAUAGCUCAUUCAUAUUUCAUUGUUUAUGAAUUGGAUCUUCAAUUGUUGAUUGAUUAUUGUAAUACCCCGCAAAAAAAAAAAUUGAAAUUUAUUUUAUGAGUUUUCAAAAAUAUUGAGUCGUUUGCGAAUUUGUGGUUCGAUUUAUGGUUUGAUUCGUUGUUACGAUUAUUAUUGUGAAUCCAUAAUUAGCUAUUUACCAAUAUUUUUUUUAAAAGAAAAUAAAUAAAUAAAUAAUUGUUAUAUGUCUCAUACGUAAAAGAUGUUAUUAAUUUAAUCUAAAUUUUAUAAAUGGAUUAAAUUAACACAAAACCCAACCUUGUCAAAACGUGCAUUAGAGUAGAUUAAUUAUUUUUCUUUUCCAUGUAUUUUUCUUUCUUUCUUUAACAGGUCUAUAUAGAGACCUUUUACCAUUAGACUUCGUAAGCUUUUAAAAUUCUGUUUUAAAACCAAACUCAUUCCAUUCAAUCAAACAAACCCUAGCCGACUUCUUCACCUCAAAAGCAUUCUGAUAAUAUUCACCAUCCAUUCCUCUCGUGGCUUUGAAGUUUGGUAUGUUUCUCACGUUUCUUUUCCUUGUUUAUUCGAUAUCGUCACGUUCGGUUUCUUAGCUCAUUUUUUUUUAUUUUAAGCGUUAGAUUUGGAUCCGUCUCGUCCUAGUUGUUGUAGACACACACCUCUACGAUUCUCAACUUCGUUUUAGUUAAACGACUUGUCGACUGUUCGUGCUACGUAGACGAAUCAGGAGUAGUUGCUUGCCAGUUAUCACGUGGAUUAGCAAGCAGGUUAUGAUUUGAGC
Mercurialis annua (annual mercury) is the source of this 980-nucleotide long non-coding RNA. RefSeq lists it as uncharacterized. The record is from RefSeq and is a predicted model, not a curated record. The transcript is spliced from 3 exons. NCBI's taxonomy places the organism in Eukaryota, Viridiplantae, Streptophyta, Magnoliopsida, Malpighiales, Euphorbiaceae.